Molecule: ribosomal RNA, 434 nt
Filed under: uncultured bacterium
Lineage: Bacteria
Description: partial 16S ribosomal RNA
Rfam family: Bacterial small subunit ribosomal RNA
Source: RNAcentral
AACGAACGCUGGCGGCAGGCCUAACACAUGCAAGUCGAGCGGACAUCUUCGGAUGUUAGCGGCGGACGGGUGAGUAACGCGUGGGAACGUGCCCUUUGCUUCGGAAUAGCCUCGGGAAACUGGGAGUAAUACCGGAUGUACCCUUUGGGGAAAGAUUUAUCGGCAAAGGAUCGGCCCGCGUUGGAUUAGGUAGUUGGUGGGGUAAUGGCCUACCAAGCCGACGAUCCAUAGCUGGUUUGAGAGGAUGAUCAGCCACACUGGGACUGAGACACGGCCCAGACUCCUACGGGAGGCAGCAGUGGGGAAUCUUAGACAAUGGGGGAAACCCUGAUCUAGCCAUGCCGCGUGAGCGAUGAAGGCCUUAGGGUUGUAAAGCUCUUUCACCGGGGAAGAUAAUGACGGUACCCGGAGAAGAAGCCCCGGCUAACUCCGUG